UUUGAUUCAUUUGACGGACUCACACUUUUUAAUCAAAUAUUGUUUAGAGCCUUCCUUUGACUUUACCACAAAGCUUGUCUUUCUUUUUCUAGAAGAGCAUCCCACUUCUUGCUUAAAUCUUUUCUCAACUACAUUUAUUUGCUAGUUAGUACAAAUUUAAUUUUUACAAAAAUAAAUAUAUCAUGACUUCAAGUAACAAUACUGAAGAGUCUCCAUCUUCUCAUG
Molecule: long non-coding RNA, 225 nt
Filed under: Vitis vinifera (wine grape)
Lineage: Eukaryota; Viridiplantae; Streptophyta; Magnoliopsida; Vitales; Vitaceae
Description: long non-coding RNA (VVIN_LNC007707)
Source: RNAcentral